Molecule: ribosomal RNA, 245 nt
Filed under: uncultured Lactobacillus sp.
Lineage: Bacteria; Bacillati; Bacillota; Bacilli; Lactobacillales; Lactobacillaceae
Description: partial 16S ribosomal RNA
Rfam family: Bacterial small subunit ribosomal RNA
Source: RNAcentral
CGUGGGUAACCUGCCCAAGAGAUCGGGAUAACACCUGGAAACAGAUGCUAAUACCGGAUAACAACAGAUGAUGCCUAUCAACUGUUUAAAAGAUGGUUCUGCUAUCACUCUUGGAUGGACCUGCGGUGCAUUAGCUAGUUGGUAGGGUAACGGCCUACCAAGGCGAUGAUGCAUAGCCGAGUUGAGAGACUGAUCGGCCACAUUGGGACUGAGACACGGCCCAAACUCCUCGGGAGGCAGCAGUC